This 602-nucleotide non-coding RNA is filed under the name Rafnia alata. RNAcentral's name for it is "partial transfer RNA-Leu (UAA)". The stretch from base 1 to 173 matches the Rfam family "Group I catalytic intron", at positions 9 to 158 of the family's 253-position model. Lineage: Eukaryota; Viridiplantae; Streptophyta; Magnoliopsida; Fabales; Fabaceae. The record is from RNAcentral.
CUUAAUUGGAUUGGACCUUGGUAAAGAAACGUACCGAGCGAGAACUUUCAAAUUCAGAGAAACCCUGGAAUUAACAGUGGGCAAUCCUGAGCCAAAUCCUGUUUUUCGCAAAAAUAAAGAAAAGUUAAGAAAGGGAGAAUAAAAAGGAUAGGUGCAGAGACUCAAUGGAAGCUGUUCUAACAAAAGGAGUUGACGAAAUUUCCCUUCGCAUUAGGAAAAAAAUCUUUCCGUCGAAAUUACGGAAAGGAUCAAGAAUAAACGUAUAUAUAUAUAUACAUAUAUGUACUGAAAUAUUAUUUCAAUUGGUUAAUGAAGACUUAAAAUCUCUAUUUGUGAAUAUUUAUAUCACAAAUGAAAGAUGUGCAUCAAAUCAUUUUAAAGUUGAAGAAAUAAUUGAAUAUUCAUUGAUCAAAUCAUUCAUUCCAUGAUAGUCUGAUAGAUCUUUUUAAGAACUUAUUAAUCAGACGAGAAUAAAGAUAGAGUCCCGUUCUACAUGUCAAUACCGACAACAAUGCAAUUUCUAGUAAGAGGAAAAUCCGUCGACUUUAUAAAUCGUGAGGGUUCAAGUCCCUCUUCNNGUGGUUCAAGUCCCUCUAUCCCCA